CCUGUGAUGUGCAGCUGAACUGUCAGAAGUCAGCAGAGGCCAUAGUACCAGUAAUGGGAAGG
Molecule: non-coding RNA, 62 nt
Filed under: marine eukaryotic metagenome
Source: RNAcentral